This 241-nucleotide unclassified non-coding RNA is filed under the name Hevea brasiliensis (rubber tree). Lineage: Eukaryota; Viridiplantae; Streptophyta; Magnoliopsida; Malpighiales; Euphorbiaceae. The record is from RNAcentral.
AUCACAUUCUGUACGCUUCCUUUUCCAUAAAGAGGAAACCGGUGGGUGGCGGAGAGGGGAAGAGUCUCUCCACAGAAUACAGAGGACAUCUGAUCUUCUUGACUCUCUCUCUCUCUUGGCCACUUUGCCACUUUGUUAUUAUUGUUUUGUUUUUUUGAAAGAUGUUAUUAUUGUUAUGAUUAAUAUUAUUUCAGUUCUUGCAGAGUCACAGAAGAAUCUUCUUAAUCAAAAAUCACUUCAA